Molecule: ribosomal RNA, 468 nt
Filed under: uncultured bacterium
Lineage: Bacteria
Description: partial 16S ribosomal RNA
Rfam family: Bacterial small subunit ribosomal RNA
Source: RNAcentral
GACGAACGCUGGCGGCGUGCUUAACACAUGCAAGUCGAACGGAAAGGCCCUGCUUUUGUGGGGUGCUCGAGUGGCGAACGGGUGAGUAACACGUGAGUAACCUGCCCUUGACUUUGGGAUAACUUCAGGAAACUGGGGCUAAUACCGGAUAGGAGCUCCUGCUGCAUGGUGGGGGUUGGAAAGUUUCGGCGGUUGGGGAUGGACUCGCGGCUUAUCAGCUUGUUGGUGGGGUAGUGGCUUACCAAGGCUUUGACGGGUAGCCGGCCUGAGAGGGUGACCGGCCACCUUGGGCCUGGGCUAGGGCCCGGACUCCUACGGGAGCCAGCGGUGGGGAAUAUUCCACAAUGGGCCGAAGCCUGAUGCAGCAACGCCGCGUGCGGGAUGACGGCCUUCGGGUUGUAACCCGCUUUCGCCUGUGACGAAGCGUGAGUGACGGUAAUGGGUAAAGAAGCACCGGCUAACUACGUG